CCUACGGGAGGCAGCAGUGGGGAAUUUUGGGCAAUGGGCGCAAGCCUGACCCAGCAACGCCGCGUGAAGGAAGAAGGCUUUCGGGUUGUAAACUUCUUUUCUGAGGGACGAAGAAAGUGACGGUACCUCAGGAAUAAGCCGCGGCUAACUACGUGCCAGCAGCCGCGGUAAUACGUAGGUGGCAAGCGUUCUCCGGAUUUAUUGGGUGUCAAGGGCGUGUAGGCGGGAAAGCAAGUCAGAUGUGAAAACUCAGGGCUCAACCCUGGGCCGGCAUUUGAAACUGUUUUUCUUGAGUGCUGGAGAGGCAAUCGGAAUUCCGUGUGUAGCGGUGAAAUGCGUAGAUAUACGGAGGAACACCAGUGGCGAAGGCGGAUUGCUGGACAGUAACUGACGCUGAGGCGCGAAAGCGUGGGGAGCAAACAGGAUUAGAUACCCGAGUAGUC
This 443-nucleotide ribosomal RNA is filed under the name uncultured bacterium. Its description in RNAcentral is "partial 16S ribosomal RNA". It matches the Rfam family "Bacterial small subunit ribosomal RNA", at positions 338 to 795 of the family's 1533-position model. The record is from RNAcentral.